GUGUCAGCAGCCGCGGUAAUACGUAGGUGGCAAGCGUUGUCCGGAUUUACUGGGCGUAAAGGAUGCGUAGGCGGAUUUUUAAGUGAGAUGUGAAAUACCCGGGCUUAACUUGGGUGCUGCAUUUCAAACUGGAAAUCUAGAGUGCGGGAGAGGAAAGUGGAAUUCCUAGUGUAGCGGUGAAAUGCGUAGAGAUUAGGAAGAACACCAGUGGCGAAGGCGACUUUCUGGACCGUAACUGACGCUGAGGCAUGAAAGCGUGGGUAGCAAACAGGAUUAGAUACCCUGGUAGUCCACGCCGUAAACGAUGAGUACUAGGUGUAGGAGGUAUCGACCCCUUCUGUGCCGCAGUUAACACAAUAAGUACUCCGCCUGGGAAGUACGAUCGCAAGAUUAAAACUUAAAUGAAUUGGCGG
This 413-nucleotide ribosomal RNA is filed under the name uncultured bacterium. RNAcentral describes it as "bacterial SSU rRNA". It matches the Rfam family "Bacterial small subunit ribosomal RNA", at positions 505 to 916 of the family's 1533-position model. The record is from RNAcentral.